UAGGGAAUCUUCGGCAAUGGGGGCAACCCUGACCGAGCAACGCCGCGUGAGUGAAGAAGGUUUUCGGAUCGUAAAGCUCUGUUGUAAGAGAAGAGCGUGUGUGAGAGUGGAAAGUUCACACAGUGACGGUAACUUACCAGAAAGGGACGGCUAACUACGUGCCGG
This 165-nucleotide ribosomal RNA is filed under the name uncultured bacterium. RNAcentral describes it as "partial 16S rRNA". It matches the Rfam family "Bacterial small subunit ribosomal RNA", at positions 355 to 511 of the family's 1533-position model. The record is from RNAcentral.